GUGAGGAAUAUUGCGCAAUGGAGGCAACUCUGACGCAGCCAUGCCGCGUGCAGGAAGAAGGCGCUACGCGUUGUAAACUGCUUUUAACCGGGAAGAAACCCCAGGACGUGUCCUGGGUUGACGGUACCGGAGGAAUAAGCACCGGCUAACUUCGUGCCAGCAGCCGCGGUAAUACGAAGGGUGCAAGCGUUAUCCGGAUUCAUUGGGUUUAACGGGUGCGUAGGCGGAGCGUUAAGUCAGUGGUGAAAUCCUGCAGCUUAACUGUAGACUUGCCAUUGAUACUGGCGCUCUUGAGUGCGCUUGAAGUGGGCGGAAUGUGCCGUGUAGCGGUGAAAUGCUUAGAUAUGGCACAGAACACCAAUUGCGAAGGCAGCUCACUAAGGCGAUACUGACGCUGAGGCACGAAAGCGUGGGGAUCGAACAGGAUUAGAUACCCCUGUAGUCC
This 445-nucleotide ribosomal RNA is filed under the name uncultured bacterium. Its description in RNAcentral is "bacterial SSU rRNA". It matches the Rfam family "Bacterial small subunit ribosomal RNA", at positions 354 to 796 of the family's 1533-position model. The record is from RNAcentral.